AAUAUUUCGCAAUGGAGGGAACGUUUACGCAGCGACGUCGCGUGGGCGAAGAAGGGCAUCGGAUCUUAAAGCUCUGUCUUUGGGGACGAAAGAAAUGACGGUACCCAACGAGGAGUCCUCGGCUAACUACGUGACACCAGCCGCGGUAACACGUAGGGGGCAAGCGUUGUCCGGAAUUACUGGGCGUAAAGGGUGCGUAGGCGGCAGAUUAAGUCAGGUGUGAAACCCCACGGCUCAACUGUGGACUUGCACAUGAAACUGGUAUGCUUGAGUACAGGAGAGGAAAGCGGAAUUCCUAGUGUAGUGGUGAAAUGCGUAGAUAUUAGGAAGAACACCAGUGGCGAAGGCGGCUUUCUGGACUGUAACUGACGCUGAGGCACGAAAGCGUGGGGAGCAAACA
RNAcentral lists this ribosomal RNA (400 nucleotides) under uncultured bacterium. RNAcentral's name for it is "partial 16S ribosomal RNA". It matches the Rfam family "Bacterial small subunit ribosomal RNA", at positions 360 to 774 of the family's 1533-position model. The record is from RNAcentral.